CGUCAGAACGAACGCUGGCAGCGUGGAUAGGCAUGCAAGUCGGACGGGAUCGGGAAGAUAGCAAUAUCGGCCCGUGAGAGUGGCGGAAGGGCGAGGAACACGUGGGCAACCUGUCCUUGAGGUGGGGAAAACCGGCUGGAAACGGCGGCUAAUACCGAAUGUGGCGCCGGGAGGCAUCUUCCGAGCGCUAAAGGGGGCGAAAGCUCCCCCUCUUCGAGGGGCUCGCGCACCAUCAGCUUGUUGGCGGGGUAACGGCCCACCAAGGCUCACGGUUAGCUGGUCUGAGAGGAUGGCCAGCCGCACUGGGACUGAGAUACUGCCCAGACUCCUACGGGAGGCUGCAGUCGAGGAUCAUUCGCAAUGGGGGAAACCCUGACGAUGCGACGCUGCGUGGAGGAUGAAGGCCCUCGGGUCGUAAACUCCUGUCAUGAGGGAAAAGGCGAGGGGGCCCAACACGUCCCUUAGUUGAUGGUACCUCAAGAGGAACGGGCGGCUAACUCUGUGCCAGCCGCCGC
Molecule: ribosomal RNA, 515 nt
Filed under: uncultured bacterium
Lineage: Bacteria
Description: bacterial SSU rRNA
Rfam family: Bacterial small subunit ribosomal RNA
Source: RNAcentral